GGUUCGAUGCGGGUCUCGCGGCCACCUCCCACCCUUGUCUCUAUACACCUGUUGCUUUGGCGGGCCCACCGGGGCCACCUGGUCGCCGGGGGACGCACGUCUCCGGGCCCGCGCCCGCCGAAGCGCUCUGUGAACCCUGAUGAAGAUGGGCUGUCUGAGUACUGUGAAAAUUGUCAAAACUUUCAACAAUGGAUCUCUUGGUUCCGGCAUCGAUGAAGAACGCAGCGAAAUGCGAUAAGUAAUGUGAAUUGCAGAAUUCCGUGAAUCAUCGAAUCUUUGAACGCACAUUGCGCCCCCUGGCAUUCCGGGGGGCAUGCCUGUCCGAGCGUCAUUUCUGCCCUCAAGCACGGCUUGUGUGUUGGGUGUGGUCCCCCCGGGGACCUGCCCGAAAGGCAGCGGCGACGUCCGUCUGGUCCUCGAGCGUAUGGGGCUCUGUCACUCGCUCGGGAAGGACCUGCGGGGGUUGGUCACCACCAUGUUUUACCACGGUUGACCUCGGAUCAGGUAGGAGUUACCCGCUGAACUUAAGCAUAUCAAUAGCCGGAGGAAGAACUUAAGCAUAUCAAUAAGCCGGAGGAAGAGUAGAUUACGCAGUCAGUUUUCUGUCUAUCUCUCUGGUGUUCGCUACGAAUUACUAUAGUUUUGUUUUCAACAUUUGACCUCAAAUCAGGUAGGACUACCCGCUGAACUUAAGCAUAUCAAUAAGCGGAGGAUGGUU
This 718-nucleotide ribosomal RNA is filed under the name Talaromyces flavus. Its description in RNAcentral is "eukaryotic LSU rRNA". The stretch from base 178 to 331 matches the Rfam family "5.8S ribosomal RNA". The record is from RNAcentral. Lineage: Eukaryota; Fungi; Ascomycota; Eurotiomycetes; Eurotiales; Trichocomaceae.